This 799-nucleotide long non-coding RNA is filed under the name Crocodylus porosus (Australian saltwater crocodile). RNAcentral describes it as "lncRNA (ENSCPRG00005012926.1)". Lineage: Eukaryota; Metazoa; Chordata; Crocodylia; Crocodylidae. The record is from RNAcentral.
CACCUUUUUCUUGCCUUGCAUAGGUACUUGGUUGAGAGCCUGGAACGGGCGUCUGCGAUGCCAGCUGCUGUAGCCAAAAAUGCCGCUGGGUUUGAACCGUUCUGUCAAAACAGCCGGCGUCUGCAUCCUGCCUGCCUGUGGGUCCAGGCAGCUCCUCUCAGCUGCAGCUAGACCCGUGUCCUGGCCGUGCCCACGUGGGGAGCUGCCUUUGCAGUGCUGCCCAGCCAGCAGCAUCCCAGAAGGCUUCACAAACAAAUGCUAAGCACCUUUGCCACAGCUCCGUUUCCUUCAUCGCAAAACUGCGGUCACCUCUGGGGUGGAGCGUUGCAGUGGGGUUUAAGAGCAAGGCCCAGCCCUGAAUAAGACAGGAAUUGAAGAAGCGUCCUGUAUCCCAGCGGUGCUCGGUCUCUGGCCUAGGGGCCUGAUCCGGCCCGUGGAGCCGUCCAGCGACGGUGCUCCCCGUGAGUUGGAAAUUUGGCAGAGGCAGCCUGGAGCCAUGCCAAUUAACACCGCUCCCCACUGCCCCUACCACCUUUCCAGACCUAUGCAGAGCCCUGCAGUCUGGAUGAUGUGGCCCUGUGUGCAGGUUGCCCCACGACGAGAUUCGGGUCACGUGGACCGACUCCUGUGCACUGGAUCAGACGCACGGACCAACCUUGCACUCCGGAUCAGGCGUGCAGGCCAGCCCGCGGGGCCGGAGAGGCUGAGCACCGCUGCCGCAGCCAAAUCAAUCUGCGGCUGCGUUUCAGGAAAGCGAUGCUCGCUGGGAAAAUGCCAGUUUGGAGCCUUGACUCAUUAA